Molecule: ribosomal RNA, 496 nt
Rfam family: Bacterial large subunit ribosomal RNA
AAAAACAUGUCCUUGAGAUAAUAAUUUAAGGUCUGGCCUGUCCGCUGAUAGUUGAGGACUGCGGUAUCUUGACCGUGCAAAGGUAGCAUAAUAAUUAGUCUUUUAAUUGAGGACUGGAAUGAAUGGUUUGACGAGAUAAUAACUGUCUCAAUAAUUUAGAUUGAAUUUUCCUUUUAAGUAAGAAGACUUGAAUAACAAUAGGGGACGAUAAGACCCUAUAGAACUUUAUAAUUUUUAUAUAAUAAUUUUAUAAAUUAAUUAUUUUACUGGGGUGGUAAAGAAAGAAAUAAACUUUCUAAAGAGAAACAUUUUAAGUGAGUAAAAGGUCCAUUAUUAAUGAUUAGGAGAGUAAGUUACCUUAGGGAUAACAGCUUAAUUUUCUUUAAGAGUCCAUAUCAAUAAGAAAGCUUGAGACCUCGAUGUUGGAUUAUGAUUAAUUUAAAUGCAGGAGUUAAACUUUAAGUCUGUUCGACUUUUAAUAUCAUACGUGAUCUGA